GGUUGCGGUGGAGCUCGGCUGCCCACCUGAGUAAAACCACCACAGUCCUUUCUGGCGCCCAAUGUGGGGCCAAACGUGAGCCCGCCGGAUCGCUUGAGCCCAGGAGUUCUGGGCUGCAGUGCGCUAUGCCGAACGGGCGUCCGCGCUAAGGCCGGCAUCAAUAUGGUGAGCCCCAGGGAGCCGGGGCACACCAGGUUGCCUAAGGAGGGGUGAACCCGCCCAGGUCGGAAACAGAGCAGGUCAAAAUUCCCAUGCCGGUCAUUAGCGGGAUCGCGCCUGUGAAUAGCCACUGCAACGUAGCCUGGGCAACACAGAGAGACGCGAGCUCCU
RNAcentral lists this signal recognition particle RNA (330 nucleotides) under Cairina moschata (Muscovy duck). Its description in RNAcentral is "domestica (muscovy Duck (domestic type)) Metazoan signal recognition particle RNA (ENSCMMG00000015311.1)". It matches the Rfam family "Metazoan signal recognition particle RNA". Rfam says of the family: The signal recognition particle (SRP) is a universally conserved ribonucleoprotein. It is involved in the co-translational targeting of proteins to membranes. The eukaryotic SRP consists of a 300-nucleotide 7S RNA and six proteins: SRPs 72, 68, 54, 19, 14, and 9. Lineage: Eukaryota; Metazoa; Chordata; Aves; Anseriformes; Anatidae. The record is from RNAcentral.